Molecule: ribosomal RNA, 40 nt
Filed under: Trichoderma longibrachiatum
Lineage: Eukaryota; Fungi; Ascomycota; Sordariomycetes; Hypocreales; Hypocreaceae
Also listed under: 7 other names
Description: partial small subunit ribosomal RNA
Source: RNAcentral
AACAAGGUCUCCGUUGGUGAACCAGCGGAGGGAUCAUUAC